This 251-nucleotide ribosomal RNA is filed under the name uncultured bacterium. Its description in RNAcentral is "partial 16S ribosomal RNA". It matches the Rfam family "Bacterial small subunit ribosomal RNA", at positions 85 to 339 of the family's 1533-position model. The record is from RNAcentral.
AUGCUGACGAGUGGCGGACGGGUGAGUAACGCGUAGGAAUCUACCUUAUAGUGGGGGAUAACCUGGGGAAACCCAGGCUAAUACCGCAUGUUUCUCAAGAGAUAAAGCAGGGGACCUUCGGGCCUUGCGCUAUAAGAUGAGCCUGCGUCGGAUUAGCUAGUUGGUGGGGUAAAGGCCUACCAAGGCGACGAUCCGUAGCUGGUCUGAGAGGACGACCAGCCACACUGGGACUGAGACACGGCCCAGACUCC